UGCGGGGAAAAUGCCGAGUUGUCUUUUGAGAAACAAUGUUACUCGGGCUGCCAUGAUGAUCUCAUCAUGGUAGUAUCAUCCUGGCGCUGUCAUCGUCAAGUUGUAUAGCUUGAUUAGAAUCAAAAGCAUUGCAUUACGUUAUGUAUCGCGAUGAUGGUGAACCAUUUUGAACCAGAACAAAAUCCUUUAAGAAACAAAAAAACAAUAAGGAAGGCAGUUUAUUUUGUUGGAUCUGAUGGUCAUUGUCGUACAAUCGCGAAUGUUGAAUUGCUCUGCUUUCGUUACUCCUUCGUGGGUAGCAUACCAAACUACUUUCGUAGUAGUAAAUCACUAG
Molecule: unclassified non-coding RNA, 334 nt
Filed under: Willowsia buskii
Lineage: Eukaryota; Metazoa; Arthropoda; Collembola; Entomobryomorpha; Entomobryidae
Description: sequence contains ITS2
Source: RNAcentral